GGUGGGGUGACGGAGUGGUCGAACGUGGCGGUCUUGAAAACCGUUGAUCCUAACCGGAUCCGUGGGUUCGAAUCCCACCCCCACCGCCA
Molecule: transfer RNA, 89 nt
Filed under: Gemmatimonadota bacterium
Lineage: Bacteria; Pseudomonadati; Gemmatimonadota
Description: tRNA-Ser
Rfam family: tRNA
About the family: Transfer RNA (tRNA) molecules are approximately 80 nucleotides in length.
Source: RNAcentral